Molecule: ribosomal RNA, 250 nt
Filed under: uncultured bacterium
Lineage: Bacteria
Description: partial 16S ribosomal RNA
Rfam family: Bacterial small subunit ribosomal RNA
Source: RNAcentral
AAUCAACGCUGGCGGCGUGCCUAACACAUGCAAGUCGAACGCGGUUACCUCGCAAGGGGUAACUGAGUGGCGAACGGGUGAGUAACGCGUGGGUGACCUACCUUCGAAUGGGGGAUAACGUCCCGAAAGGGACGCUAAUACCGCAUAACAUCCUGCCCUUGAAAGGGUGGAGAUCAAAGCUGGGGAUCGCAAGACCUGGCGUUUGAAGAGGGGCCCGCGUCUGAUUAGCUAGUUGGUGGGGUAAUGGCUC